GGAGGGGGUGAUUAGUGACAGAGUGAGGGAGGGGGUGACUAGUGACAGAGUGAGGGAGCGGGUGACACAGUGACAGAGUUAGGGAGGGAGUGACUAGUGACAGUCACCCCCUCCCUCCCUCUGUCACUAGUCACUCCCUCCGUCACUAGUCACUCCCUCACUCCGUCACCAGUCAUCCCCUCACUCCGUCACCAGUCACCCCUUCCCUCCCUCACUCUGCCACUAGUCAUCUUUUCCCUCC
Molecule: small RNA, 241 nt
Filed under: Pelobates cultripes (western spadefoot toad)
Lineage: Eukaryota; Metazoa; Chordata; Amphibia; Anura; Pelobatidae
Source: RNAcentral